GACGAACGCUGGCGGCGUGCCUAAUACAUGCAAGUAGAACGCUGAAGGAGGAGCUUGCUUCUCUGGAUGAGUUGCGAACGGGUGAGUAACGCGUAGGUAACCUGCCUGGUAGCGGGGGAUAACUAUUGGAAACGAUAGCUAAUACCGCAUAAUAGUAGAUGUCGCGUGACAUUUGCUUAAAAGGUGCAAUUGCAUCACUACCAGAUGGACCUGCGUUGUAUUAGCUAGUUGGUGAGGUAACGGCUCACCAAGGCAACGAUACAUAGCCGACCUGAGAGGGUGAUCGGCCACACUGGGACUGAGACACGGCCCAGACUCCUACGGGAGGCAGCAGUAGGGAAUCUUCGGCAAUGGACGGAAGUCUGACCGAGCAACGCCGCGUGAGUGAAGAAGGUUUUCGGAUCGUAAAGCUCUGUUGUAAGAGAAGAACGAGUGUGAGAGUGGAAAGUUCACACUGUGACGGUAUCUUACCAGAAAGGGACGGCUAACUACGUG
This 495-nucleotide ribosomal RNA is filed under the name uncultured bacterium. RNAcentral's name for it is "partial 16S ribosomal RNA". It matches the Rfam family "Bacterial small subunit ribosomal RNA", at positions 28 to 507 of the family's 1533-position model. The record is from RNAcentral.